Molecule: ribosomal RNA, 255 nt
Filed under: uncultured bacterium
Lineage: Bacteria
Description: partial 16S ribosomal RNA
Rfam family: Bacterial small subunit ribosomal RNA
Source: RNAcentral
UACGUAGGUGGCAAGCGUUUGUCCGGAAUUAUUGGGCGUAAAGCGCGCGCAGGCGGCCUCUUAAGUCUGAUGUGAAAGCCCCCGGCUCAACCGGGGAGGGCCAUUGGAAACUGGGAGGCUUGAGUAUAGGAGAGAAGAGUGGAAUUCCACGUGUAGCGGUGAAAUGCGUAGAGAAUGUGGAGGAACACCAGUGGCGAAGGCGACUCUUUGGCCUAUAACUGACGCUGAGGCGCGAAAGCGUGGGGAGCAAACAGG